This 412-nucleotide ribosomal RNA is filed under the name uncultured Sporichthyaceae bacterium. Its description in RNAcentral is "bacterial SSU rRNA". It matches the Rfam family "Bacterial small subunit ribosomal RNA", at positions 506 to 916 of the family's 1533-position model. The record is from RNAcentral. Lineage: Bacteria; Bacillati; Actinomycetota; Actinomycetes; Sporichthyales; Sporichthyaceae.
UGUCAGCAGCCGCGGUAAUACAUAGGGUGCAAGCGUUGUCCGGAAUUAUUGGGCGUAAAGAGCUCGUAGGUCGUUUGUUACGUCGGAUGUGAAAACCUGAGGCUCAACCUCAGGCCUGCAUUCGAUACGGGCAAACUAGAGUUUGGUAGGGGAGACUGGAAUUCCUGGUGUAGCGGUGGAAUGCGCAGAUAUCAGGAGGAACACCAAUGGCGAAGGCAGGUCUCUGGGCCAAUACUGACACUGAGGAGCGAAAGUCUGGGGAGCGAACAGGAUUAGAUACCCUGGUAGUCCAGACCGUAAACGGUGGGCACUAGUUGUGGGAACCUUCCACGGUUUCUGCGACGCAGCUAACGCAUUAAGUGCCCCGCCUGGGGAGUACGAUCGCAAGAUUAAAACUCAAAGGAAUUGACGG